UGGGGAAUCUUGCACAAUGGGCGAAAGCCUGAUGCAGCAACGCCGCGUGCGGGAAGAAGGCCUUAGGGUUGUAAACCGCUUUCAGUAGGGAAGCGGUACCUACAGAAGAAGGUGCGGCCAACUACGUGCCAGCAGCCGCGGUGACACGUAGGCACCAAGCGUUAUCCGGAUUUAUUGGGCGUAAAGAGCUCGUAGGCGGUUCGGUAAGUCGGGUGUGAAACUCUGGGCUCAACCCAGAGACGCCACCCGAUACUGCUGGACUAGAGUGCGGUAGGGGAGCGGGGAAUUCAUGGUGUAGCGGUGAAAUGCGCAGAUAUCAUGAGGAACACCAGCGGCGAAGGCGCCGCUCUGGGCCGUAACUGACGCUGAGGAGCGAAAGCAUGGGUAGCAAACAGGAUUAGAUACCCGGGUAGU
Molecule: ribosomal RNA, 414 nt
Filed under: uncultured bacterium
Lineage: Bacteria
Description: bacterial SSU rRNA
Rfam family: Bacterial small subunit ribosomal RNA
Source: RNAcentral